RNAcentral lists this ribosomal RNA (416 nucleotides) under uncultured microorganism. RNAcentral describes it as "bacterial SSU rRNA". It matches the Rfam family "Bacterial small subunit ribosomal RNA", at positions 9 to 424 of the family's 1533-position model. The record is from RNAcentral.
GAGUUUGAUCAUGGCUCAGAUUGAACGCUGGCGGCAUGCCUUACACAUGCAAGUCGAACGGCAGCAUGAUCUAGCUUGCUAGAUUGAUGGCGAGUGGCGAACGGGUGAGUAAUACAUCGGAACGUGCCCUGUAGUGGGGGAUAACUAGUCGAAAGAUUAGCUAAUACCGCAUACGACCUGAGGGUGAAAGUGGGGGACCGCAAGGCCUCAUGCUAUAGGAGCGGCCGAUGUCUGAUUAGCUAGUUGGUGGGGUAAAGGCCCACCAAGGCGACGAUCAGUAGCUGGUCUGAGAGGACGAUCAGCCACACUGGGACUGAGACACGGCCCAGACUCCUACGGGAGGCAGCAGUAGGGAAUUUUGGACAAUGGGCGAAAGCCUGAUCCAGCAAUGCCGCGUGUGUGAAGAAGGCCUGGUU